This 468-nucleotide ribosomal RNA is filed under the name uncultured bacterium. RNAcentral describes it as "partial 16S ribosomal RNA". It matches the Rfam family "Bacterial small subunit ribosomal RNA", at positions 28 to 507 of the family's 1533-position model. The record is from RNAcentral.
GACGAACGCUGGCGGCGUGCUUAACACAUGCAAGUCGAACGGUGAAGCUCCAGCUUGCUGGAGUGGAUCAGUGGCGAACGGGUGAGUAACACGUGAGCAACCUGCCCCUGACUCUGGAAUAAGCGCUGGAAACGGCGUCUAAUACUGGAUACGAGAAGGGUCCGCAUGGGCACUUUCUGUAAAGUUUUUCGGUUGGGGAUGGGCUCGCGGCCUAUCAGCUUGUUGGUGAGGUAAUGGCUCACCAAGGCGACGACGGGUAGCCGGCCUGAGAGGGCGACCGGCCACACUGGGACUGAGACACGGCCCAGACUCCUACGGGAGGCAGCAGUGGGGAAUAUUGCACAAUGGGCGAAAGCCUGAUGCAGCGACGCCGCGUGAGGGAUGACGGCCUUCGGGUUGUAAACCUCUUUCAGCAGGGAAGAAGCGAAAGUGACGGUACCUGCAGAAGAAGCACCGGCUAACUACGUG